AGUGAACGCUGGCGGUAGGCCUAACACAUGCAAGUCGAACGGCAGCACAGUAAGAGCUUGCUCUUACGGGUGGCGAGUGGCGGACGGGUGAGGAAUACAUCUGAAUCUACUUUUUCGUUGGGGAUAACGUAGGGAAACUUACGCUAAUACCGCAUACGACCUACGGGUUAAAGCAGGGGAUCUUCGGACCUUGCGCGAUUGAAUGAGCCGAUGUCGGAUUAGCUAGUUGGCGGGGUAAAGGCCCACCAAGGCGACGAUCCGUAGCUGGUCUGAGAGGAUGAUCAGCCACACUGGAACUGAGACACGGUCCAGACUCCUACGGGAGGCAGCAGUGGGGAAUAUUGGACAAUGGGCGCAAGCCUGAUCCAGCCAUACCGCGUGGGUGAAGAAGGCCUUCGGGUUGUAAAGCCCUUUUGUUGGGAAAGAAAAGCAGCAGGUUAAUACCCCGCUGUUCUGACGGUACCCAAAGAAUAAGCACCGGCUAACUUCGUG
Molecule: ribosomal RNA, 492 nt
Filed under: uncultured bacterium
Lineage: Bacteria
Description: partial 16S ribosomal RNA
Rfam family: Bacterial small subunit ribosomal RNA
Source: RNAcentral